This 321-nucleotide long non-coding RNA is filed under the name Sinocyclocheilus grahami. RNAcentral describes it as "lncRNA (ENSSGRG00000008092.1)". Lineage: Eukaryota; Metazoa; Chordata; Actinopteri; Cypriniformes; Cyprinidae. The record is from RNAcentral.
GUGACACUGACCUCUGCAAUGCAGCAGGUGGCGUGUAUAAGGGGAGCUACCUCCUGCUGUUGUCUCCUCUGCUCUUCUACUUCCUGUUUCAGUGAGUCCAGCUGCAGCAGAAACUGAAAGUCACAUUUCCAUAUUUUACUGAAUAAAGUGUACAUGUUGUUCUGCUGUUCUUUAGGAUGAUGAUUUGGGGGAUUAAACAAAAUAGUGCAUCAACUAGUGUAACACACAAAUAAUUAUUAAAAAGAAAAACAAAAUGAAUAUAUGAUGAGUUUGCAAUAUCUGCAGUAAUUUUGUGGAGUAAUAAUAUUUGCAGUUAAGACU